ACACAGCUCUGUCGUUGAGCGUGUUCUUGCAUUGUUUGUUCUGCCCACCUGGUAAUGUCACCUUUGCGGUGGAAAGUAACUACUUUGUCAAUGGGACGCUGGAUAUGCUGAUGAUGAGACUUCCUCUCCGGGGGUGUCGGAAUGAACUUUGGGCCUCAGUACUCAGGAUCGUGGCUUGGGAAGGACAUCUGCCAAUGGAUUUGGAGGUUUUGCAAAGACAGCGUUGGUGGUAUCUCUCUAGUCUUUGAGGUGGCUACUGUUAGUAGAUCAGAAACGUGGAGGAGAAUAGGAAUAUAUGUGUAAAACAAGAUGACAGUGUACAGUGACUCUGCCAGCCAAACUACAGAGGACUGGGCAUUUCCUCGGUCAGAAUCAGAAUCAGGUUUAUUACCACCGACAUAUGUCACGAAAUUUUUUUGUGGCAGCGGGUUUCAUUUGUUUUCCAAAUUGUGUAACGCUUCUGGCUUGGUCAUUCUCAUCUUUGAGAGGGCCAGCACAUUCAAGAUCCGAAAUGGCACAUUUGUCACUCACAGACUCAGUUUCAGGGUCAUCAUUUCCUCAAAGCAAAAUUGAAGAUAUAGGAAACCGGAAAUUAAAAUGGGAUUCACUCAACAAGUCAGAUUCGCUCUUUACCGUCAGUUGCAUCCUUCCUGUUCCCGUUCAGUGCUUGAGAACUUGCCAGAGGACCUCAAUUGUUGUACAUGUUCGAUUUUGCCAAAAUGUCUGGCGUGUUUCACCUGCUAGGAAUUUGCUGAAGCUUCAGAUAAAUGACGUAGUUCAUGAAGACUCAUAAAGAAUUGUCAUAAUUGCUGUCUGUUAAGCUUAACUAUAACACCUAUCCUGCUGUUAUAAGGCUCUUGAAUGUACCUCUUGUACAUUUAAAGAUGAGCUCUUGACCUGAUGAGAGGUCUUGGCCUGAAACAGCUACUCUUUAUUCCUGUCCAUAGAUGCUGCCCAACCUACAGAGCUUCUGCAGCAUUUUAUGUGUGUUACUCUUGUCCACACUAUUGACUUCAUCCUGGCCCUUGCACCUUAUUGUCUACCUGCAGGACACUUUCUCUGUAACUGUAACACCUGAGGUAGUACAACUUCUCCCUUGUACUACCUCAAAGUUCAACCCAAAUUUAUUAUCCGAUGCAUACUGUGUAUGUCACCAUGUACCUGUUUUGAAAUGAUCUGUACGGAUUGCUCAUGAAAUUAAGUCUUUCACAGGAUCUCAGCAUAUGUGACAGUAAUAAGGCAAUACAGUGUGAUUAGUUAUUUGUUGGGGUAAAACACUGACCUCAGGAACUUGCAAUAAACGUACAACAGAGUACUGGAUCUGCAUAAUAGUCUGCUUCUGAAAUUUGAUUAGUUCUAAGCUAAAAUUUCAAAUUAAAUUUAUUAUCAAGAUAUGUUCUGUGCACGUCAGCAUAUGUCAUCUUGAGAUUCAUUUUCUUGCAGGCUCUCACAGUAGGACAAAGAAAUACAGCAGAAUCAAUGAAAAACUACACAAAGACUGACAAACUACCAACGUGAAAAAUAUAAGCUGUGCAAAUUCAAUAAUAAUACUAAUAAUAAUAUUAAUAAAUUAAUAACAAAAUACUGAGAAUAUGAGUUGUAGAGUCCUUAAGUAUACAUAUAUAUUUGUCUGGUUGUGUUUUUACUAAUAUUCUAUUGUGUCCAUAUAUGUGACGACUGAGCCUCUAAGCCAUGGUAUCACCUAGCAGAUGUUGGGCAUUGGGUUUGGUUGAGAGUUGAUCUUGGUGACUGGAAGGUUUGAACUAUAUACGUGCAUAUUCUGCGUCACUGUAUUUUACUGAUAUUCUAUAUGGGUUUGUUGACUUGUAUGUGUGAGGACCGGGCAUCAAGCUCCAGUGUCUCGCGGUGGGGUGGGGGGGUUGUUGGGACUCCUUUAUUCUGUGAAUAUGCUCUUGUGUCUGACUGUUGGUAAUGUGUUUUAGCACCUUGACCCCGAGGUAAUGCUGUCUCAUUUGGCUGAAUUCAUGAGUCUUGUGUAUGGUUGAAUGACAAUUAAAUUUGAAUUGAAUUGAAAGUGAGUCCAUAGGUUGUGAAAUCAGUGAAAUUAUCUACACUGGUUCAGGAGCCUGAUGGUUGUAGGGUAAUAACUGUUCCAGAAUCUGGUGGCAUGGAACCUAAGGCCCCUGUACCUCCUGCACGAUGGCAGUAGUGAGAAGGGACUGGGGUGUCCUUGAUGAUGGAUGCUGCUUUUCUGUGGCAGCAGUCCUUGUAGAUGUGCUCAGUGACGGGACUGCAAUGAGGCAGGGGUUCCCAACCUGGGGUCCUUGCUUAAUGGUAUCGGUCCAUGGCAUAAAAAAUGUUGGGAACCCCUGCUUUAGAAUCAGUAGAAGUGAAUUUCAAGAGUGGAAUACCAUUCAGAAUUAUAAGUAUAAUGUGAGUUCUUAGCAUAUUGUGUAUUGUGCCCUGGUCAAGCUCUUCUGGUAGAGUUAUAAUACCUGCAUCUAGCCAACAAAGUGGAAAAUUGCCAAGGUAUCCACAAUAAGCAGAAGUGCUAUUAUUUCCCAUCCCCUAUUAGUUCAUUCUUAACCAUCAUUAAAGAGAUGAAAGAUGCUGUUGGUUGUACGAUCAGGCAGCUCUCAAUCAUCAAUAACCAAUUCACCAAAGCAAGUUCUGAGUUGAGAACAUCAUUCCCCAGCUAUGAUGCACACAUGGACCAAAGAGCUGGAUUCUGGAGAUGAGGGGAGAAUGAAUGCCCUUGACACAAGGCAGCGUUUAACUGAGCUUGGCAUCAAGGUGCCUUCCUAAGAGUGAAGCCGAGGGAUAUCAAAGGGAAAGCAUUAGUUGCUCGAAGGAAGAAUGACUGUGUGCUGCUGGAGGUCCAUCACCACAUCAUUACAGGAAACUUUUAGGGCAGUGUGCUAGGCCCAACCAUCCUCAGCUAUUUCAUCAAUGAUCUUUCUUCUAUCAUUCAGGUCAGAAAGGAGGAUUUUGCUAUUUUCAGUUCCAUUCACAACUCCUUGGCAAAUGCCUACAUGCAGUGAGACCUAAGCAAUUUUCUGGCCUUUGGAAGAGGCAAGUGAUUAUGAAUAUUUCCAACCAGAGAGGAUUGAACCAGCUACAAUUGUCAUUCAGUGCUAUUAUCAUCAUGGAGUCUCCCAUCAUCCAUAUCCUGGAGGGCACCAUUGACCUGAAUCUCAACUGGGCCCAGCCACAUAAAUGAUCCUGGAGACAAGAGCAUGCCAAAAGCUGAGUACCCUCACAAAUCACUCACCUCCUGAACUCUCAAGGCUUUUCUACUACUUACAUGCCACAAGUCUGAAGCAUGAUUAAAUACUCUCUACAUGCUAUAUAUGUUGAGCUGCAGCACAUAUCAAGAAGCUCCACUCUGUGCAGGUAACCCAAGGUACACUCCAUAAAUUACUGUGGAAUUUCAUUCCUUUUUCCACUGGUACUUCUACAAACUGCACAGAUGUACUGAUAACACCUCUCAAAUGCAUGACUUCUACAAUCAAGGACCAAAGCAACACUCAUGUGGAAGCAACCCCACCUUCAUAUUUCCAUUCCUAUUUCCUACCAUUCUGACUUUGAAAUACAUCAUGCACCCAACCCCAUACCCAGCAGCACUGCAGUAGCACUCUCAGAAGAAUUACAGUUUCAAGAAGAUGGCUCACAACCAUCUUCUCAAGUGCAGUUGAGGUUCGGCAACAAAUGCUGAGUUUGACGGCUAUGUCCAGGCCUUGAAAAUUAAAUUUAAACACUGACUGAGGACAAUUUUCUGUCUUUCCUUUUUUAGAAUAGUCUGUUCAAGAGCAAACCCACAAACUGUGCAAAGCACAGAUGCAUUCAGAAAAUCCUUGUCAUAAAUUCUCGGUUCAAUUGCUGUUUGAAUUUUCAUUGGCUCCUAGAUAUAAAAUUGGAAGUGAAAGAAAUGCAUAUGUAUUAGAUGUCAGUCUUUCUGAUCAAAUAGGAAUAGGCUAAUCCCUGCACUAUCCCUUAUGUUACUAAAUUAGUUUGAAAGUAGCUUCUGAGAAAGCUAAAUAUUAAACCAAGUUCCCUUUUUCAAGGCAGGGCCAAAAAGGUACUUGCUUUUAUAUAAAGCCUUCCCUUAAAGGUGAUUGAGGUAUUUUGUAAAUAUAAUUGCUGGUGUACUGUGAUGAAGAGCCGAUAAUCUGUUUUAAUGGCAUUUGUUGAAAGAUAGAAAUAGCACACCUGGACUUUGAAAUUGUACCACGAGAUCUUUUAAGUCCACUUGUGAAGGCAGAUGGGGUCUAGGUUUGCUGUCUUUGAAUCCCAGAGCUCCCAAAAAGGUUAUAGCAUGAGAGGAGGCUAUUUGCCCAUUAGGUUGUAUGUGAGAGCAAAAAGAGAACUGGGUUCACAGUAAAGCCCUACUGGGUUUACCACACCAAACAUUCUGGGAAAAAUAAAUGCAACCCAGAGCAAUUUCGUAGGAGGUUUAGCACACUAAGUAUUCUGGGAAAUUUAAAUUUAUACACCAAUUGAAGUCUUCUGGCAGAUUGUCGAGCAUUAAAUGAUUUUAAAGCAGUGUAUUUUGGAUCCGAAGUACCUGUUGUGUUGAACUAUUUUCCUCAGGCAGCUUACGGUUCUUUUCCCAAUCAUGUUCAUUCAGCGUGCUAUCGUUCUUGUGCUAAUGGGAACAGUUUUCACAAGCUAUUUUGUACUCAUUUUUUUCCACUGGCUGACAUUUGUAUUUCGAACAUGGUCAGAAGUUGGAGAUAUCACUCCUCCAUUGGGGAUUUCUGAAUAAUUUAAUAUAAUACUGUGCAAAAGUCUUAGGCAUAUAUAUAUAUAUAUAUAUAUAUAUAUAAACUGGGGUGCCUGAGACCUUUACACACUGUUGUAUAUUGGUUAAAAUAGGAAGUGGUUAGAAAAUAGAAAUAAGACUACUUAGUUUUGUAUUAGCUCAGUAGUAGACGAGGGGUGAUUGAUAAGUUCAUGGCCUGAGUUAGAAUGAGUCAAUUUUUGAAAACCUAGCACUUUUAUUUUUCAACAUAGCCCCCUCCUACAUUUACACACUUAGUCCAGCAGUUGUGGAGCAUACGGAUCUUGGACCUCCAGGAAGUGUCCACAGCAGGGGUGAUUGAUAAUUUCGUGGCCUAAGGUAGAAGGAGAUGAGUUAUAUAGCUCUCGUUACAUGUACAUGCAAUUCAGCUCUUUGAGUGAUCAUGCAAAAAGUUUGAAGUUAAUAACUCAUCAGGGUGAUAAGUUUGUGGCCUAAGGUAAAAGGAGAUGAGUUACUAACUUCAAACUUUCUGCUCCAUCAUCAAGAAACUUCAGCAUCCAGGCCAUGCUCUCUUCUCGCUGCUGCCAUUAGGAAAGAGGUACAGGACCCUCAGGAUCCACACCACCAGGUUCAGGAACAGUUAUUAAUCCUCAACUAUCAGGGUAUUGAACCAGAGGGGAUAACUUCACUCAAAUUCACUCGCCUCAUCACUGAACUAUUCCCUCAACCUAUCGACUCACUUUCAAGGACUCUUCAUCUCAUGCUAUUGAUACUUCUUGCUUAUUUAUUUAUUAUUAUUACUUUUUUCUCUUUCUUCCUUAUAUUUGCACAACAUGUUGACUUUUGCAUAUUGGUUAUUGUCCAUCUUUGUGUGUAGUUUUUGAUUGACUAUUGUGUUUCUUUGUAUUUUCUGUGAAUGUUUGCAAGAAAAUGAAUCUCAGGGUUGUGUAUGGUGACAUAUAUGUAGAUUGAUAAUAAAUUUACUUUGAACUUUGAAUUUUGAAUAGUGCCACAAUGACCUCUAACUCAACAGCAGCAACAGACUGAUUAUUGACCUAGCAGAAGAAGCUGGAGGUCUAUGAACCAGUCCUCAUUAGGGGAUCAAAGGUGGAGAGGGUCAGUAACUUAAAAAUGCCUUGGUGUUAUCAUAUCAGAAGACCUGCCCUGGGACCAGCAUAUAAGUGACAUCACAAAGAACGCAUGACAGUGCCUCUACCUUCUUUGAAGUUUGCCUAGAUUUGUCAUGCCACCUGAAACUUUGACUAACUUCUAUAGCUAUUCAGUGGAAAGUAUCCUAACUGGCUGCAUCACAACCUGGUAUGGAAACACUGCUGUCCUGGAAUGGAAAAGACUACAGGAAGAGGUGGAUACAGCCCACUCCAAAACAGGUGAAGCACAUUUACAUGGAGCAUUGCCACAAGAAAGCAGCAUCCAUUGUCAAGGACACCCUCUAUCCAGCCCAUGUACUCCUCUCACUACUAAAACCAGGCAGGUGGUACUGGAGCCUUUGGUCCCACACUACCAGGUCCAGGAACAUCUAUUACCCUACAAACAUGAGACUCCUGAACUUCACUCACCCAGUUCUGAACUGAUUCCACAACCUGGAGCCUCACUUUUAAGAACUCUACAAUUCAUGUUUUCAGUAUUUUUUUUUAUUUGCAAAAUCUAUCUUCUUUUGCACAUCGGUUGUCAGUCUUUGAGCAUAGUUUUCAUAAAUUCCAUUGUAUUUCUUUAUUUUCCUGUAAAUGCUCAAAGAAAAUGAAUCUCAAGUUAAUAUGGUAACAUGUACAUAUUUAUAAUAAAUAUACUUUGGCUGAGAUGAAACUGAGGGAGGUUUUGGUUCUGAUUUUACUGUGAUUCAAUCAACAUUCACUGCCAUUACACAGUGAAAAAGAUAGCAACUUAAGUCAUUUGUAAUUCAAGAUGAAUAUUUUCUCAGAUGGUAAUAAUUAAUGUAGCCCUUCUCAUGGUGGCAUUGUUUGCAACCUUCUACAAUGGAAUUGUGUGAAAUAAACAUGUGAAUUACUGUGAGCUUGUAGUAUUCAUAAGCUAGCUCUACUGUAAGAUAGCUGGAAAAUUCUAUAAUCUAUGACAUGCACCAGAAAUGAAUUCAUUAUCACUUAUCUGAACUUACUAAAAAUAAUUUUGUUCUCAUCUUGGAAUUUUUUAACAUAUUUAGAAGUAAUUUUACUUUUUAAAGAUAUCAUUCUUACAAAAGAUUAUUUUCAAUUGCUCAGAUUAUAAAUCGAAAAAGUGUUCCUGUCUAUGUUUGGUGCACUGAAAAAGAUUAAACAAAAAUUUGGUUAAAAGUUGUCCUUUUUCCUUCUGAUGUGAAAAUUUUAAAGCCAACUUGACGACACUAUGUUAUACAGGGAUCCCAAUGAAUUAAAUGAUAGCAGUGUACAUCAACAAAAGAACAUUUUCACUACAGAGAUGAAUGGAUCCCCUAUCAUUCUAGCUGAGAAAGUCGUUCCUCAAUUCUUCUCUAACACUUCCAUUGCUCUAAAACUGAAUCCUCCAAAUUUACGACCUCUGCAAAGAAAAGUUUCAUGUUCGCAUAACUUUAUAUACCAUGACUACAGCCCCCAUGUUCCAAAGCAUGUUAGCCCAGCCUAGAAUCUCUUUUCAUAACUAAAAUUCUCCUGCUGUGACAGCAUACUCAUCAAUCACGUCCAUGUUGUAAUAUGGUGACUGGCGAUGAACAUGUAGAAAUAUCUCAAACAUCACAGCGAUGAGAAAUAUGUACAACAAAAGAUUGCCUGUAGUCUUGCUUCCAGCUAGAACAGUUCUAACGAUUUGGAAUUAGGGAAACAACACACCCACUCUUUGCUUCUGAGAAGCUGCUUGUCAGUAAAGAGUUGAUUUAAAUGUCAAUCAGCAUCUUUUCAGUGGAACACAGAGAAAAAUGUGAGGAACUCGGGGGGUCAGGCAGUAUUGAGUGGUGGGGGUGGGGGGGGGAAGGAAUGAUUGAGACCCUUCAUCU
Molecule: long non-coding RNA, 7685 nt
Organism: Hypanus sabinus (Atlantic stingray)
Lineage: Eukaryota; Metazoa; Chordata; Chondrichthyes; Myliobatiformes; Dasyatidae
Exons: 5
Source: RefSeq, a predicted model, not a curated record